RNAcentral lists this ribosomal RNA (504 nucleotides) under Triticum aestivum (bread wheat). Its description in RNAcentral is "partial small subunit ribosomal RNA". Lineage: Eukaryota; Viridiplantae; Streptophyta; Magnoliopsida; Poales; Poaceae. The record is from RNAcentral.
AUGCGGAAACUAAAAGGCGAGUACCAUGGGAUCAUGAAGUAUAUAAAGCAAAGGAGGAGCUGUACCAUCUCCUCUCCGGCAAGAAUUUUUUUUUCGUUGGCGAUUGAACGAAUUGAAUGCAAGAUUGCAUUGUUAGAAGGACGGAGAGUGGAACACCAGCUUCAGUUUCUCAGAUCCCACCUUCUCAACUUGAUUCCCUGUUUGCAUUCGCCAUUCUCAACAAGCACCAGGACAUGGCUUUGGUUCUGCACAAACAAUAUCUUCAGGGAAAGAACUAUUGAGCAAGCUGAAUUGCUAUUGAAUAAUAUAUUGAGUAAUGAAAAUGAUUGGACACUUCCUGAACCAACUCCGAAGCCAACUCCGAAGAAGAGGGGUAUUCUAUUUCUCAACCCUGAAGAUAUGCAAGAGGCAAAGAAAUCUAUGAAAGAAAAAGGUAUUAAAGCUGAAGAUGUUAAGAAUCUACCACCUAUUAAAGAAAUACAUGGUCUUGAUAACCCGACAUAG